Molecule: ribosomal RNA, 392 nt
Filed under: uncultured bacterium
Lineage: Bacteria
Description: partial 16S ribosomal RNA
Rfam family: Bacterial small subunit ribosomal RNA
Source: RNAcentral
AUACGGAGGAUCCGAGCGUUAUCCGGAUUUAUUGGGUUUAAAGGGUGCGCAGGCGGCCAUUUAAGUCAGCGGUUAAAUCGUGGGGCUCAACCCCAUUCUGCCGUUGAUACUGGGUGGCUUGAUUGCGGUCGAGGUUGGCGGAAUUCGUUGUGUAGCGGUGAAAUGCAUAGAUAUGACGAAGAACACCGAUUGCGUAGGCAGCUGUCCAGACCGCAAAUGACGCUCAUGCACGAAAGAGCGGGGAUCGAACAGGAUUAGAUACCCUGGUAGUUCGCACAGUAAACGAUGAAUACUUGUUUUCGGCGAUAUAAUGUCGGAGGCAAAGCGAAAGCGAUAAGUAUUCCACCUGGGGAGUACGCCUGCAACGGUGAAACUCAAAGGAAUUGACGGGG